Molecule: long non-coding RNA, 254 nt
Filed under: Mytilus galloprovincialis (Mediterranean mussel)
Lineage: Eukaryota; Metazoa; Mollusca; Bivalvia; Mytilida; Mytilidae
Source: RNAcentral
UUCAGAUUUCAUAAAUAAAAAGAAAAUUUCUAAAAACGUUUUUUUGAGAGGAUUAAUAUUCAACAGCAUAGUGAAUUGCUCAAAGGCAAAAAACAAAUUUUAAGUUUAUUAGACCACAUUCAUUCUGUGUCAGAAACCUAUGCUGUGUCAACUAUUUAAUCACAAUCAAAAUUUAGAGCUGAAUCCUGCUUGAAUGUUGUGUCCAUACUUGCCCCAACCGUUCAGGGUUCAAACUCUGUGGUCGUAUAAAGCUG